GUAACUGGCUGAUCUUGAGUUUAUAUUGUAGACAUCAGUCUUGUCAAAAACGGUAGAUGGGUCGAGGUAGAUCAGACAGUUGGUCUGCAUUUGAGGUAGUAGAUUAGAGUGUCAGAAGAAUAGAGCGGUGAACUCUUAGCAGCACAUGACAGAGUUUGAGUUCUGUGACCUGGGAUGUGGGAGGCUUAGAUUAGUAACUGGUGCUGGGCCGAAACUAGGUUGAGGAACACUGGGAUGCUGGGAACCCGAAGUGCUCACGGAGCUCGGAGACGGAGAGUGGUGUUUUGCUGCUAGUGUGUGAACAGUCAAAAAAGUUCUGCUUUAUUGUCAGAAAGGGCUGUUCUGUUGACUGAGUGUGCUGUCGACGGUCCACUCUGAUGUUUGAUGCUGGGGAUGGUCGGAAUAUUGGCAGGGUGUAUUUGGAUCUUGGUGGCUUUGCCUGUCAUUCAACAUCCGUAACUUAAGUGGGUCGGAGAGGAGCGUCUGGAAGGGGCAAUGACCCUCGAACGCAGAAAAUGGGAGAAGAGAAUUCUGAGAAGGAAGAAAAGAAUAGUGAUGUCCAGGGUCUGCAGCUCAAAAAAUCAGUGACACGACCAACACAACAUCCAACUUCAUCCGUCACUACAGAACCCAUAAAGAAAGGUUUCAGGAAAUAAUUGAGAGGACAGGGAUAAAUCACCUUUUCAUGGCUGAAUUGGAGCUUCAGUGAACUUGCGGCACCGGGUUAGGAGCAACGACAAUCAAGCAGGGGUGACUGGAGAACCGGGGUAGAAGUACUGUCGGAGAUGAGGCUGAUUGCUGGCAGGUGUGGCAGGCAGGAGGUGGCUGACAAGGUGCAGGUGCUGGCUGGGCUCAGGAGCAGAGGGAGAGCACACGCAGGGGAGGAGACACGGGGAGGCAGGCAGAGUACAGGAAAACACAACACCAGGGGUAAACAGAAUCACAAGCAAAAAAGGAGGAAUACACAGGACACUCACCAUCAGCCGGGCUGUCACCACAACAGUGAGGGCUUAAAUACUAGUGAUGUGCGAUACCACUUAAUUCCUAUACAAUCCAAUACCAAGUAAUACCCAGGCUGAUAUUGCCAAUACCGAUACCACUACUUUUUACAUAUUUUAUUUCUAGUUUACUGUGAC
Long non-coding RNA from Micropterus salmoides (largemouth bass), 1136 nucleotides. RefSeq lists it as uncharacterized. The record is from RefSeq and is a predicted model, not a curated record. The transcript is spliced from 4 exons. Lineage: Eukaryota; Metazoa; Chordata; Actinopteri; Centrarchiformes; Centrarchidae.